GUGGAGGCCGAGCGGCUG
RNAcentral lists this unclassified non-coding RNA (18 nucleotides) under Mus musculus (house mouse). Its description in RNAcentral is "oocyte_clustered_small_RNA397". The record is from RNAcentral. Lineage: Eukaryota; Metazoa; Chordata; Mammalia; Rodentia; Muridae.